CCUACGGGAGGCAGCAGUGAGGAAUAUUGGUCAAUGGACGCAAGUCUGAACCAGCCAUGCCGCGUGCAGGAAGACGGCUCUAUGAGUUGUAAACUGCUUUUGUACGAGGGUAAAUCCCGAUACGUGUAUCGGGUUGAAAGUAUCGUACGAAUAAGGAUCGGCUAACUCCGUGCCAGCAGCCGCGGUAAUACGGAGGAUUCAAGCGUUAUCCGGAUUUAUUGGGUUUAAAGGGUGCGUAGGCGGUUCGAGAAGUUAGGGGUGAAAUCCCGGGGCUCAACUCCGGCACUGCCUCUGAUACUGUUGGGCUAGAGUUUAGUUGCGGUAGGCGGAAUGUAUGGUGUAGCGGUGAAAUGCAUAGAGAUCAUACAGAACACCGAUUGCGAAGGCAGCUUGCUGCAGCGGAACUGACGCUGAUGCUCGAAAGCGCGGGUAUCGAACAGGAUUAGAUACCCUGGUAGUC
This 460-nucleotide ribosomal RNA is filed under the name uncultured bacterium. RNAcentral describes it as "partial 16S ribosomal RNA". It matches the Rfam family "Bacterial small subunit ribosomal RNA", at positions 338 to 795 of the family's 1533-position model. The record is from RNAcentral.